RNAcentral lists this ribosomal RNA (254 nucleotides) under uncultured archaeon. RNAcentral describes it as "partial 16S ribosomal RNA". It matches the Rfam family "Archaeal small subunit ribosomal RNA", at positions 748 to 1001 of the family's 1478-position model. The record is from RNAcentral.
CAGCCGUAAACUAUGCGCGUUAGGUGUAUCGGUGACCACGAGUUACCGAGGUGCCGAAGGGAAACCGUGAAACGUGCCGCCUGGGAAGUACGGUCGCAAGGCUGAACUUAAAGGAAUUGGCGGGGGGAGCACCACAACAGGUGGAGCCUGCGGUUUAAUUGGACUCAACGCCGGGAAGCUCACCGGAUAGGACAGCAGAAUGAUUGCCGGGCUGAAGACCCUGCAUGACUAGCUGAGAGGUGGUGCAUGGCUGU